UUUUCAUGUGUCCUCUGGUUUCUGGGAGAGAGUGAAGUCUCUUUUACUCACUGCAUUGUAAGUUCUUCCCAGGCAGGGACUCUAUCUUACUGAUCUUUAUUUUUCCAGUACUUAGCACAAUGUUUGAUGCAUAGUUGACACUCACUGUGGUUUUUGAAUUGAACUCAGUAAAUACCAAAAUGCUAGAAUUAACUACUACAUAGUUAUUUUUAUGGGUAGAGAAAUAUUAAACAUCAGAGGAAAUACCCUUGAAAUGAUGGGCAAAAAUGUAAUGAUUCAUUUUUUUCUUUGUAAGAAGGAGGAGACUGUACAUAGUUUAAAAUAAUUGGGACAAUUUGGAACUUUUACCAAGCUAAUAAUUGUUUUGAGAAAAGAAAAAUACCUCUAAGUUUUUGGCAAAACUGAAAUAGUCCCUGUCUUUCUCCAAGGAGGGCGUUCUUCAUUAGUUUGGAGAUAACAAGGCUUAUUUCUUAGAAUAAGCUUAUUUUUCUAUUUGUUCUGCUUCACGUUAAGCUCUACUCUACACUGGCCAUAGUAGAAAAUUCGUUUAAAAUCAUAGAAUCCAGAUUUCAGAAUUGGAAAGGAGCUUACUCAUUUAGCUCAUAUCGUUGUGCUUGGCAGAACUAUUAUUCACUUUUAAGCAGAAUGAGUACCAGAGUUUGUUAAAAGGGUGAUGGCUUUAGUUAUAAUACUAAAUUACAUAAUAUAUACAGAUAAAAAAUUAUGCUGUACUAAAUUAUGUAUUUAUUAUGCUAUGAUCAAAGGUGGAGUUCAGCAUAUGACCACUGGGAGUCACUGUGUAGCUGUCACAGCUAAGGAGGCCUCCACACCAUCCACACCAGCUUCCUGGCCUGCUAGGGAGAUAACAUACUCAUCUCUUUUCCCCAACCACUGGCAUUUAUCCAUUUGCCAACUGGUAGUUAUUAAGUGUCCACAGAGAGCUGGGUGCUGUGUUAAAUUAGGCAACAUAGUGAGAACAAGCUGCUUGUGUGGCUAGCAGUGUUUCCCCGCCCCACCCUAUCCCCAGCAAAGCUCUUUAAACCUUCCUUAUGAUUUAUGUUCCAUUUAUUUAUUAUUAUUUAUACAUUUAUGAGAUUUUUGUCUUUCCUACUAGAGAUCCUUGAGAGAGAGGUCUACAUUUUUUUAUUUUGUAAUUGUUAAUACCGUUGGCUGGUCUGUAGUUGGUCCUUAUUUUAUAUUGAGCGGCUGGAUGCUAUGCCAGUUGUUUCCUCUUGUUCUUUUGAUUUAGCUUAUUAUUUCUUCUAGGAUGUAUUACUCCCUAGUUAUUGCCACCUAUUCAGCAUCACUCCCUACUUACUGUCCUCUAGUGCUGUUGCAGUAAUGAAAUGGAUAUAGGUGAAUCAUUUUCUUGGUUAUCAAUUAUUCUUCCUUCCUCAUUCUGCUGUAGCAGUUUAGGGGUCUUGUUUAUACCACAUCAGAAAUGAAUGACAUCAGUUAUCAAUAGAAGCAUUAGAAGUCUCACUUUUGUGGAACUAGAAUUGAACAAUGUGUAUGAAAAGUUGUGUGGUGCUGGAGAACGGUUCUGCAAGAGUACCAAAUUCACAAGAGAGAAAUGGACAUUUAAUUUCAUGUUUUUCACCAGUGAUCAAUUUUAAAACAGAGAAUUAUAUUAAUUCUCACCACCUCCCUGUCUCCAUUUAUAAAGUUUAUUUAAUUUCUAUUAAAUGUUAGGUAGGGACCAGAACUUCAGGAGAGAAAAAGAAUGAAUUAAGCAAAGUCUAAUACCUUAAACAGCUUGCUAUACAAUUGUGGGUGGAGCUAGAAAUAACAUAGAAAACAAAUUAAACUUUAAAGGCAGCACUUAACUGCCAAAUAAGUGGAAGAGAUCAUAGGAAUUUAUAAAUAUGAAUGAUUCUGUUUAGAUUAGAUCUGUCAUGAUUGGUUCCAGAAAAUUGGAUUUUGCCUGUCUUUGAAGUAUUGAGAUACUCCAUUCUGUGGAAUGGACAGCAAAAGACACUUUGGGGAGAGAUGUUCAGGUAUGUCUGGGUAAUAAUGAGAAAAAUUUAUGUCUAAAGAUGAGAACCUGUUUAAGAGGAAGUGGGAAAAAAAGAAAGUUGAUAGCGAAGUGCUUAAGAUAUAUUUUUGUGAAGUACCUAAGAUAUAUUUUUAGUCAUGAGUUUUGGGGCCAUAAAAGAGCAUACUUAAAAUUGGGUCUUGAAUUCCAUUUCUCAUUUUAUAUCCUACUCUUAUUGCUGGGACAACUGGGUGUUCUCUGUAGAUAUUACAUCUGGAGUUUCCAUGUCCAGUAACUUUUUUCUUCACACUGCUGUUACUAACAGUAAAAGUCUAAAUAUCACCAGAGGGGCUCAACUUUCUUGCAAUAAAGUUAGUAUUUCAUCCAAAGAACCUUUGCCUUUGCAGAUGACAACUGCUAGAACACAUGAGGCCCGAAGGGAACCCGGUGUUUGGGCAACUGAUUUUUGAUAAAGAGAACAUAGAGCUCCAGGUCAUAUCACAGGAUUUUCUGUUUUUCUUUGGCUUCCAUUAAAAAAAAAAAAAAUUGUCCCAGAAAACUUUCUGCCAGACUAAGAGCGACCAGUGCUGAGCUUGUGUGAUAAAACACCGAGGCCCUUGAGGAUAAAUUGGUGGCAGGAAAAGUUGCUUGCUGAAUUAAUUAAACAAAAUUUGCAUCUUUAAAUAUUUUAAUCAUUAGGUAAGUAGAAUUGUGGGCUUAGGGUAUAAUUAGUAAUAUUCUGUUUUUAUUCUGUUCACUCUUUUCUUAAUUUCUCUCCUUCAUGCUGUGUUUGAGGAUUGCCAAUUCAGGAACCCUUUAUUCCCAUAAUUGAGAACCAAACUUUAUUCCCAUAAUUGCGUAAAGACUUCUGUUCCUGUUAAUGCUGAUAGAUUUUUUUUUAGUUCCAUUAAGGGAAAUGGAUCUUUAUUUUCGUGUCUAUUGUAAAAUGAGAUAGCUGGAACCUCACAGGUAAUAAAGACCAGACAAGCUGAUUAAAUGAAGAAAACCAUAGAGAAAACAAUUGAUUUAUGGUAAAGAUUUUUUUGUUUGUCCAAAAAAGUCUCCAUAAUCAAUUUUUCUUUCAUGGGAAUAAUAGUGAAGUAACUUGGAGAAAUUAUUUGUGUAUAUGUCUGAUUUUAUGGUAUGAAUUUUAUUAUUUUAUGGUAUUAGCUUAUAUAGUCUAAACUCCCAUUUACCUGUAGAGCAUGUUGUUAAAGCUACAAAAGGCCAAUCACAAUUUUUAGAACAAGAACUGGAAGAGAUAAAUAGUGUACCUGAUACAAAAGCAACUCAUUUCACGUUCUAGUGACUUAUAAGAGACUGUGUUAAUCCUCUGUAUAUCUAGGUAGACAGUAUGAUUGGAAAAAGAUCUUAAUAGGUAUAUAUCAUUUAACUUAAUAGAUAUUUCUACAGAUUUUAACCCUCUAUUUUAAAAAAUUGAUAAAUAGUUUAAUUUAUUGUAGUGAAAAUGUCUGUAUAAUUGUAUGGAAAUUGAUUUUCAAAAUGUAAUUAUCCUGUAAGUGUACCAAAAAUAGUUUCCAAUUUAAAAAAUUGCAGAGAGUUUUUGGUAAUUAACCUUUUAAAUAUUGCAAAUAGCCUUUACUUAUAUAAAAUGUAAACUAUAUUUAGUAAGCCUGAAUUUUUCAUAUGUAUCAAGAUCUGUUAAAAUUGGUCAGAUAUGCAGCUUCCUUCUAUUUGGGAUUAAAAAAGAUGUGACAAAAGUGUUUUUCUGAUACCAGGAGCACACUUAUUGUUGAGCUUUGACCUAAAUAUUGAGCUAAGAGGACAGAAUGUGUCUGCAGGCCAUCAAAACAAUUAAAUUAAAAUUAACAGUUUUAUCAGUCAUAAAGAUGGAUAUUUUAUACUAAACACAUUCAGUUGUUUACAGGAAUUUUUACUUUAAGUAAAAAAUUUGAAGGGUAUGAGGCUGAGUCUCUAUAAAUACAACUAUAAAACAUAAUACAAAAAUAAAUGAACAUGUGAGAUAAAUCUAGGAAGUUAUUGGACGAAACUUUUAAAAAUAAUGGGAAAAAUACUUAAGAUGUUUUAAUUCGUAUUCCUUCAAAAUCCCUUAUUGAACAUGAAUUCUGACUUAUGUUUUUAAUUAUAUUUUUAAUCUGUCUCUUCCAUCUCUUACUAGGGUCGAAGGGUUAAUUUUACAUGAAAGGAAAAGCUAAAUAAAUGAAAUAGUGGUAAAUGUUAACUGGGCUCAUAUAUAUGACCAUUUAGCCUUGAAGCAGUAGAAAAAUUAUUUUAUAUGUAAAUGUUCAUUGUCCCUAGAUAUUUCUUAGAGAAACUGAGAAUGGUAAUUUUCAGGUGAUAACUUUUUGACAGCAAAAAGGAAUUUCUUUUAAAAUUUUCCUAUAGAGUAGUGAAAAAUCAGAAAGAGAGUAUUAUAGAAAGGAAACUAGGAAAUAGGGAAUAAGAAGGAACUUAGAAAUUAUCUAAUAACUAGUGUGUCUCCUUCAACACAGAGGUGAGAGAAAUUGCACUAUGGUGCAAGAUAAGCGCAUGCUUGUUGACUUUUUUAACUUUUUGUUAUACAGACAUUUCUAACAUGUUUAAAAGUGAAAUGAAUAGCUCAAGACUCUGCUGUCCAGUAUGGUAAUCACUGGUAGCGUGGCUGUAGAGCAUUUCAGAGGUGGCUAGUGACACAAGUUGAAAUGAUAUUUUGGAUAAUUGAAUUAAAUAAAUUAUUUUAAAAAACGAAUUUCACCUAUUUCUUUUUACUUUUUAAAAUGUAGGUCCUAGAGGAGUUCCCGUCGUGGCGCAGUGGUUAACGAAUCCAACUAGGAACCAUGAGGUUGCGGGUUCGGUCCCUGCCCUUGCUCAGUGGGUUAAUGAUCCGGCGUUGCCGUGAGCUGUGGUGUAGGUUGCAGANNNNNNNNNNNNNNNNNNNNNNNNNNNNNNNNNNNNNNNNNNNNNNNNNNNNNNNNNNNNNNNNNNNNNNNNNNNNNNNNNNNNNNNNNNNNNNNNNNNNNNNNNNNNNNNNNNNNNNNNNNNNNNNNNNNNNNNNNAAAAAAAAAAAGACAAAAAAAAAAUGUAGGUACUAGAAAAUUUGUAAGUAUGUGUAUGACUCAAAGUAUAUUUUUAUCAGACAGUUGUGUCAAUUACUUCUACCCACUUCAGUGGUCAUCAACUCAGGACUUACGACUCAUCUGUGUGCUUUAGAGCUGCCUAUAGUCAUACUGGUAAUUGGUUCCACCUUUGGCAUGGAACGCUUGCUUGUUGGCUGUUGAUCUUUCUACUACUAUACUUUUAAAUUGAGGUCUUUUUUUGGUGUGUGCUAGUUUUACUAUCUUCUAAUUAUUUAAGAUUACAUUUCUGAGAUUUACUGAUUUUGACAGGUCAAUAAUGCAUUCAUCCAUUUCCUUUACAGACUAUUAUUUUAAUUUAAUUGAUAAAGACUCUUGGAUCAAAUUCUCCAUUUACUUUACUAAGUAGGGUGGGCUCAUUUGUACAUCAUUUCUCCUUCCUCCAAAAUCUUGAUUACUUAAGGAUAGCAAUAGAGUUAGUGCCUUCUUGGGUAUGCUUCUCAUUUAUACUUCUCAUGCAAAGUUUAAUUAUUUGCUUAAAGUUUAUGUUAAAAAACAUAAUCAAUCAACAUAUACACUGAAUAUUUACCACCCACCCAAUAUCCAUCAUUAGAGUUAGUAGUCUUGGGUUGGGAAAAGAAAGAAAAAAACACGAAUUUGUUUCCAAACAUGCUGGACCUGAAGUGUCAGGUCUAGAGAUUAGCAAGAGCUGAGCUAUUGGGGAAAUACUUUCUAUCUAGACAUUCUCUUCAGUGAUGACUUAUUGAAUCAAAAAGGAAAACAUUCCAAUAAAACAAUUUAUUAUAGAAAUAUGCUACUUCAGGGAAUAUUUACAAUUUAAUUUCUUCAUAUAUCUUUAUAUACGUUUGCUAUAGUUAUUUCAGUGAAAUACACUAUAUUUUAUUUUAUUUAUUUAUUUUUAUUUUUGUCUUUUUCCCAUUUCUUGGGCCUCUCCAAGAGGUUAGGAGUUGAAUCUGAGCUGUAGCUGCUGGCGUAUGCCAGAGCCACAGCAACACGGGAUCCGAACUGUGUCUGCAACCUACACCACAGCUCACAGCAAUGCCGGAUCCUUAACCCACUGAGCAAGGCUAGGGAUCCAACCCGCAACCUCAUGGUUCCUAGUCAGAUUCGUUAACCACUGCGUCACAACGGGAACUCCACUAUCUAUAUUUUAAAAACCAGGAGUUCUCUUUGUGGCUCAGUGGGUUAAGAGCCUGACUAGUAUCCAUGAGGGCACAGGUUUGAUCCCUGGCCUUGCUCAGUGGGUUAAGGAUCCAGCGUUGCCAUGAACUGUGGUGUAGGUUGCAGACAUGGCUCAGAUCUGGCGUGGCUGUGGUGUAGGCUGGCAGCUGUAGCUCCUAUUAGACCCCUAAUCUGGGAACUUUCAUGUGCCACAGGUGCGGCCCUAAAAAGAAAAGAAAAAAAAACACAGUUGUGUUAUUUGGGUAUAUGUAAAUCAUUAACAGAAUCUGUGCAAUACAUUUUUUAAAUUUAAUUACAAACUUGACUUCCACAUUUCCAUCUUGAAAAGUUGAAUGGCCUUUAUAAUAGAAA
Molecule: long non-coding RNA, 6564 nt
Filed under: Sus scrofa (pig)
Lineage: Eukaryota; Metazoa; Chordata; Mammalia; Artiodactyla; Suidae
Description: lncRNA (ENSSSCG00035013544.1)
Source: RNAcentral